AGGACUAACGCUGGCGGCGUGCCUAACACAUGCAAGUCGAACGAGGGGUAGCAAUACCCCUAGUGGCAGACGGGUGAGUAACACGUAGUCAACCUACCUCUUAAUGGGGGAUAACUAGCCGAAAGGUUAGCUAAUACCGCAUACGAUCGUCGAGUGGCAUCACACGACGAUGAAAGGAGCAAUCCGUUGAGAGAGGGGACUGCGUCCCAUUAGUUAGUUGGUGGGGUAAUGGCCUACCAAGACUCCGAUGGGUAGCUGGCUUGAGAGAGCGACCAGCCACACUGGAACUGAGACACGGUCCAGACUCCUACGGGAGGCAGCAGUGAGGAAUUUUCCGCAAUGGGGGAAACCCUGACGGAGCGACGCCGCGUGUGGGAAGAAGGCCUUCGGGUCGUAAACCACUGUCGAGGGGGACGAUAUUGACGGUACCCCGUGGACGGAAGCCCCGGCUAACCUACGCGCCAGCACGCCGC
RNAcentral lists this ribosomal RNA (473 nucleotides) under uncultured bacterium. RNAcentral's name for it is "SSU rRNA". It matches the Rfam family "Bacterial small subunit ribosomal RNA", at positions 26 to 518 of the family's 1533-position model. The record is from RNAcentral.